UUGAAAUCUGGCACUUUCAGUGUCCGAGUUGUAAUUUGAAGAAGGUAACUUUGGAGUUGGCCCUUGUCUAUGUUCCUUGGAACAGGACGUCACAGAGGGUGAGAAUCCCGUGCGAUGAGGUGUCCAAUUCUAUGUAAAGUGCUUUCGAAGAGUCGAGUUGUUUGGGAAUGCAGCUCUAAGUGGGUGGUAAAUUCCAUCUAAAGCUAAAUAUUGGCGAGAGACCGAUAGCGAACAAGUACAGUGAUGGAAAGAUGAAAAGAACUUUGAAAAGAGAGUGAAAAAGUACGUGAAAUUGUUGAAAGGGAAGGGCUUGAGAUCAGACUCGGUAUUUUGCAAGCCUAUCCUUCGUGGAGAGGUUUAUUAGCAGCUUACCGGGCCAGCAUCGGUUUGGAUGGUAGGAUAAUGGCAUUGGAAUGUGGCUCCUCGGAGUGUUAUAGCCUUUGUUGAUACUGCCUAUCUAGACCGAGGACUGCGUCUUUGACUAGGAUGCUGGCGUAAUGAUCUUAAGCCGCCCG
Molecule: ribosomal RNA, 515 nt
Filed under: Kurtzmaniella quercitrusa
Lineage: Eukaryota; Fungi; Ascomycota; Pichiomycetes; Serinales; Debaryomycetaceae
Description: partial large subunit ribosomal RNA
Rfam family: Eukaryotic large subunit ribosomal RNA
Source: RNAcentral